UACGAGGGGUGCAAGCGUUGUUCGGAAUCACUGGGCGUAAAGGGAGCGUAGGCGGAGAAUCAAGUCGACCGUACAAUACCGAGGCCCAACCUCGGAACUGCAGUCGAGACUGGUUUUCUUGAAUUAUUCAGAGGCAGGCGGAAUUCCAGGUGUAGCGGUGGAAUGCGUAGAGAUCUGGAAGAACACCAAUGGCGAAGGCAGCCUGCUGGGGAUUAAUUGACGCUGAGGCUCGAAAGCGUGGGUAGCAAACAGG
RNAcentral lists this ribosomal RNA (253 nucleotides) under uncultured bacterium. Its description in RNAcentral is "partial 16S ribosomal RNA". It matches the Rfam family "Bacterial small subunit ribosomal RNA", at positions 524 to 776 of the family's 1533-position model. The record is from RNAcentral.